This 373-nucleotide ribosomal RNA is filed under the name uncultured bacterium. RNAcentral's name for it is "bacterial SSU rRNA". It matches the Rfam family "Bacterial small subunit ribosomal RNA", at positions 525 to 896 of the family's 1533-position model. The record is from RNAcentral.
ACGGAGGGUGCAAGCGUUAUUCGGAUUUAUUGGGCGUAAAGGGCGCGUAGGCGGUCUUGUAAGUCAGAUGUGAAAGCCCGGGGCUCAACCCCGGAAGGGCAUUUGAUACUGCGAGACUUGAGUAUGGGAGGGGGAAGUGGAAUUCCUGGUGUAGAGGUGAAAUUCGUAGAUAUCAGGAGGAACACCAGUGGCGAAGGCGACUUCCUGGACCAAUACUGACGCUGAUGCGCGAAGGCGUGGGGAGCAAACAGGAUUAGAUACCCUGGUAGUCCACGCAGUAAACGGUGAGAACUAGGUGUAGCGGGUAUUGACCCCUGCUGUGCCGCAGUUAACGCAUUAAGUUCUCCGCCUGGGGAGUACGAUCGCAAGAUUA